ACAAAAUCAACCAUUUCAGUUAUUCUCAUAAACAUAUAAUUUCAUCUCACGUAAUGCAAAUAAUCUCAAACUCAACCAAGUCAAAUAAUUCAAUUCCACAUUAUUUCUAUCAAAUUAGGAUCAGAUGACUCAUCCUUACAUUUCCUCACAUUUUUAAAUUUCAGUAACCACUUGACAAGACUAUCCGCCCGGCUCAGUCUUGCCAUCUCACAACUCGGGUAGCUAUCCGCCCGGCUCAGCUUUCCCGAUCACACAAUAUCCAUACAAAAGUCAUCAAUCCUUAAUCACAAUCAAUUCACUUCACAACACAUCACAAUCAAUUCACUUUAUAACAAGCCAAAAACAUAACUAAUAUCAACUCAGUCAACCAAGAAAUUAUCAAGUAAUCAAACAGCAGUCCCUACUCAAUAAAUACAAAGUUUAGUCUAUUAAAUACUUACCAAAAGUUAUAGGAUAACAAAGUAAUUCUAUUCUUUUUCUCUUACCACUUCCUUGCCUUUGGAUGAACCUAUUCACAUAUUCAAUACAAAUACAAUUCAAUCACAAGGCAUAUAUAUAUAUAUAUAUAUAUAUAUAUAUAUAUAUAUAUAUAUAUAUAUAUAUAUAUAUAUAUUUACUAUCAAUAAAAUAUCACAUUUCAACAAAAUAACAUAUAUUCUAGAUAUUAAUAUGAUGCAUGAGAUGAAUGACAACAAAUCAACAUAUUUGUUGAUGAAGGCAGCUUGUAGGUACUGACUUAGAAAUGAUACCAAAACUUAUGUACAAUUAAUAAAAAUCUCAUAUUUUCCAGAAUUACACUUCCAUUUUUAUAGAAACCAUAGCAGAAAGAAUCACUUCAAAAUCAUUGGUAUAGAAAUAGUUAUGGCAUUUUCUAUACAGCUGCUCAAAUUUCUAUUUAAACAGAACAGCAAAAAGUUUCCUAUUAAAUGACCAAUCAAACGAAUGAAUUUUCUGAUGAAACUCUCCAGAUAUAAAUUUAACAUUCUAAAGUUUCUAUAGACACUAAUUUUACUCAAUUUGGACUUCUCUAGCUCAAGUUGUGAAACACACAAUUAGCAACAAAUUUCUGAAUCCUAAGCCCGAUUUCUGCUUAAAACAGUUUCGGGCAGGCCAUAUUAAGUUCAACAUAUCUCACGUUAUACUGAAUCAAAAAUUAUGAAAUUUUGCAGACAUAUACUAGAUAUAUAAAUGAACAACUUUCAUGUUUAACUCUCUGCUUGGUUCAGCCUCUAAAUGCCUCAAAAUGUCAGCAUAAAAACCAGGUCACCUGCUGAACUAAAAAUAGAGCAGCAGCAAAAUCGAACCUCAUAAGUUCCUACUCACUCAACAAUCUGCAAAACCAUUUUAUAGAGAUAUUCUUGAGACAUAUACCUACAACUUUCAUGUUUGAAAAUUUUCGAGAUAAAGCCUCUAAGGUCACGAAAUAAUAAGUGAAAAAUCUGCCCAGAAAUCUCAGCUUCAAGAUCACAAGUAAAAGCAUGUUUACUCUUGAUUAAAUAAUUCCAAAACACAUAAUCAUCAACAAUUUCAUAUCAUUAACCCUAAUUUACAGCAAAAUCAAGCAAUUAAAAUUACUCACCUUUAUUUUCCUUGAUUAAGAAAGCCCAAAUCUUUCAAGCUUAAAAGAAGAAUU
RNAcentral lists this long non-coding RNA (1633 nucleotides) under Ricinus communis (castor bean). RNAcentral's name for it is "long non-coding RNA (RCOM_LNC000903)". The record is from RNAcentral. Lineage: Eukaryota; Viridiplantae; Streptophyta; Magnoliopsida; Malpighiales; Euphorbiaceae.